GGGGUGGGGGGGGAUGUCAUUGCUUGUGCUGGGACCACUGUGCCCCCUAACUGUGACCAGCUGCUUCAGGCUGCUUCUGCUUUCACCCACUGCCGUGAUGGUGUGAGAUGGCCUCAGAAGCCAGGAGAGUGCUGGGCUCCUUGGAAGUGGAAUAAAGAAGCUAUGACCCACCGUAUGGAUUUCAGUGCUCCUGUCUUCCGUCGGUGAACUCCCCACACAGGGCCUCCCAGGAAGAGUGCAGCCUGGAGAGACUGCUGCUCAGAAGCCGAGGAAGGAAGUGGCGAUAUUCCAUUGGACAGGAUGAGUCACAUGGGCCUAACCACCGAAGAGUCAGGGACCAGAAUUUCCACGGACUCUAAUUCUAGGUCCUGAAAGGUAAGGAAAACUGGACAUUGGAGAGAUUGUGACUCGAUGACGCUUGAUAAAAGAAACUUUAGGGAGAAAUGACUCAGCAGUACGAGCGUGGACCUCUCUUGCUUAAGACCCAAGUUCAGUUCCCUGCACCCAAGUCUGCUCACAACCAAGCCUAACUCCAGUUCCAGGACCCAGGGCGCCCUCCUUCUACCCGCUGAAGGCACCAGGCCCAGAUGUGCUGCACAGAUGCACAAGCAGAGGGAAGACUUCAGCAACAGGGUUAGCUGGCCUAUUCUCAUUGGUGGAACACAGGACAAAGGAUCUUUUCAGGUAUUGGCUGGCCUGCUCAAGGAGCUGUUCUUGGCUUAGUCACUUUCCUUAUCCAGCCCUGCACCUGGCCUUGGAAAACCACUGGGAAAGGGCUAAAUUGGCAAGUCCCUUAGAAGGCAGGGAGGAACUGGGUGGUCGGGCAGGGUCAGGACGACAUCUUGAGGUUGUUCUCGGUAUUUACCACAGGGAGGGGGA
RNAcentral lists this small RNA (879 nucleotides) under Rattus norvegicus (Norway rat). Its description in RNAcentral is "uncharacterized LOC102546403". Lineage: Eukaryota; Metazoa; Chordata; Mammalia; Rodentia; Muridae. The record is from RNAcentral.